CCUACGGGGGGCAGCAGUGGGGAAUAUUGGACAAUGGGGGCAACCCUGAUCCAGCCAUGCCGCGUGUGUGAAGAAGGCCCUCGGGUUGUAAAGCACUUUCAGUGAGGAAGAACGCCUGGUGGUUAAUACCCAUCAGGAAAGACAUCACUCACAGAAGAAGCACCGGCUAACUCCGUGCCAGCAGCCGCGGUAAUACGGAGGGUGCGAGCGUUGAUCGGAAUUACUGGGCGUAAAGCGCGCGUAGGUGGCUUGAUAAGCCGGUUGUGAAAGCCCCGGGCUCAACCUGGGAACGGCAUCCGGAACUGUCAAGCUAGAGUGCAGGAGAGGAAGGUAGAAUUCCCGGUGUAGCGGUGAAAUGCGUAGAGAUCGGGAGGAAUACCAGUGGCGAAGGCGGCCUUCUGGACUGACACUGACACUGAGGUGCGAAAGCGUGGGUAGCAAACAGGAUUAGAUACCCGGGUAGUC
This 465-nucleotide ribosomal RNA is filed under the name Vreelandella stevensii. RNAcentral describes it as "partial 16S ribosomal RNA". It matches the Rfam family "Bacterial small subunit ribosomal RNA", at positions 338 to 795 of the family's 1533-position model. The record is from RNAcentral. Lineage: Bacteria; Pseudomonadati; Pseudomonadota; Gammaproteobacteria; Oceanospirillales; Halomonadaceae.